CUGCCUGCGUGUGCGUCGUAUCCCAGGCCCCAGCAACAGAAAGAAGUCGAACUCCCCCUUGCGUCUCCUUCCUAAUCGAUUCAGAGAAUUCGAUCCACGCCUACUACAAAAAUCGUAGCCUCUCCUUCACUCCAAAUCGAUAACAGGUUCUUCUCCCCUCUUCUGAUUUCGAUCACCAAUUCGCACAAGCCACACCUUUUUCCUUCUCAAAAUCGAUCACACUACCACAAAUUCGCAGCUUCUCGUUCUUCUCUAGAUCGAUCAAAAUUAUUCUCUCGUUCUCACGAAAUCGAAGUCAGAAAGUGUUGGCUGGUUUUUUUUUUGGGCAGGGAGGCUCGAUGGUGGCUGUUAUUGCUCAGUUGUUGCCUUGAAGAGUGUUAAGGAGGGUUUUUGGUGGUGAUAUAUGGUUGAUUUGGAGGGUGGUGUCGGGCGGUGAUGAAGGUGCGUGAACAGGUGAUGAUGAAGAUGGUAAGGAUGUGUUUUAUGGGUAGAGAAUGGUGGUUGUAUGUGGUUCAAGGUCGAUGGCUGUAAUGGAGGAAUAAGGUGGUUGAUGUUGGCGAUAAAAAGGAGGUAUGUAGGUGGAGGGUUAAGGGGUUCAGGUUGGUUUAAGGUGAAGAUGAUGAAGGGUAGUUUAUGGUGGAGGCUGCUUUUGGAGUGGUAGAAGGGUUGAUGGUGGAAGGUGUUGUGUGUGAUCGAUGGGUUCUCGGUAAUGGAAUGAAGGUUCAAAAGGGACUGGUUAAGGUUUGUUUUUGGUGGAGGUAUAAGGUUAGAAGAUGAUGGUAAUGGGGUGGUGUCGGGUGUUGGAAUGGAAGGUAUUAGGGUGGUGAAAGGUGGUCGCGGUGGUGAGAAUGGAGAAGGAGGGUGAUGGCGAUGGUGACAAGGGGUGAGGGCUUAUGGAGAAAGGUCCCCCGCCCAAGGGAGGUAAAGGAGGAGGUUUUUAAGCAGCCCAUAAAAUCACAAGAUCCGGUCAAUAUCUCUUUCAAUCUUCAUUGUCAUGUUAAAACUUUUAUCUUUUAUCCGUUUUGAUGCAUUUUCUUGUGAUUGCAAAGGUUGUCAACGAAAGGUAUAAGAGAGCUCUUCCAAUUUGAGGUUGACUGUCUUUUACUUGUGAACAAGGCACCGUGUUUUUUUUUACAACUUUGACUUUUGACUUUGUCUAACCAAGUAAUCAAGACAUGCAAUUGGGUAAUUUGUGGGAUUGAAUUAGGCUCACUCAAAUGGACUUGUUCUUCAUUUUAACUCUUGCAAUUUGAUGCUUCCAACACUUGAUGUUAUUUCCUUAUUGGCAUGUAUUAGUUGAAAUGGGUUGUAAAAUAUUUAUCUUUUAAAUUGCAUCUUCAACCAAACCUAAACAUCUCCGAUAUGAAAAACAUUAUUGAUAGAAUUUUGAGCGCGUAUGAAC
Molecule: long non-coding RNA, 1402 nt
Filed under: Lactuca sativa (garden lettuce)
Lineage: Eukaryota; Viridiplantae; Streptophyta; Magnoliopsida; Asterales; Asteraceae
Description: long non-coding RNA (LSAT_LNC004771)
Source: RNAcentral